UACGGAGGAUGCAAGCGUUAUCCGGAAUUAUUGGGCGUAAAGCGUCCGCAGGCGGUUCUUUAAGUCAGGGGUGAAAGCCCAGAGCUCAACUCUGGAAUUGCCUUUGAAACUAGAGAACUUGGGUACGGGAGAGGUGAGUGGAAUUCCGAGUGUAGAGGUGAAAUUCGUAGAUAUUCGGAAGAACACCAGUGGCGAAGGCGGCUCACUGGCCCGUUACCGACGCUCAGGCGCGACAGCGUGGGGAGCAAACAGG
Molecule: ribosomal RNA, 253 nt
Filed under: uncultured bacterium
Lineage: Bacteria
Description: partial 16S ribosomal RNA
Rfam family: Bacterial small subunit ribosomal RNA
Source: RNAcentral